CCUACGGGGGGCAGCAGUGGGGAAUAUUGCACAAUGGGCGCAAGCCUGAUGCAGCCAUGCCGCGUGUGUGAAGAAGGCCUUCGGGUUGUAAAACACUUUCAGCGGGGAGGAAGGCGGUGAGGUUAAUAACCUCAUCGAUUGACGUUACCCGCAGAAGAAGCACCGGCUAACUCCGUGCCAGCAGCCGCGGUAAUACGGAGGGUGCAAGCGUUAAUCGGAAUUACUGGGCGUAAAGCGCACGCAGGCGGUCUAUCAAGUCGGAUGUGAAAUCCCCGGGCUCAACCUGGGAACUGCAUUCGAAAGUGGCAGGGUAGAGUGUUGUAGAGGGGGGUAGAAUUCCAGGUGUAGCGGUGAAAUGCGUAGAGAUCUGGAGGAAUACCGGUGGCGAAGGCGGCCCCCUGGACAAAGACUGACGCUCAGGUGCGAAAGCGUGGGGAGCAAACAGGAUUAGAUACCCUUGUAGUC
RNAcentral lists this ribosomal RNA (465 nucleotides) under uncultured Klebsiella sp. RNAcentral's name for it is "bacterial SSU rRNA". It matches the Rfam family "Bacterial small subunit ribosomal RNA", at positions 338 to 795 of the family's 1533-position model. The record is from RNAcentral. Lineage: Bacteria; Pseudomonadati; Pseudomonadota; Gammaproteobacteria; Enterobacterales; Enterobacteriaceae.